GGGGUCGUAGCUCAGCUGGGAGAGCACCUGCCUUGCACGCAGGGGGUCAGGAGUUCGAUCCUCCUCGGCUCCA
This is a transfer RNA of Legionella longbeachae NSW150, 73 nucleotides long. It matches the Rfam family "tRNA". Rfam says of the family: Transfer RNA (tRNA) molecules are approximately 80 nucleotides in length. Their secondary structure includes four short double-helical elements and three loops (D, anti-codon, and T loops). Lineage: Bacteria; Pseudomonadati; Pseudomonadota; Gammaproteobacteria; Legionellales; Legionellaceae. The record is from Rfam.